GACGAACGCUGGCGGCGUGCUUAACACAUGCAAGUCGAACGGAAAGGCCCUGCUUUUGUGGGGUGCUCGAGUGGCGAACGGGUGAGUAACACGUGAGUAACCUGCCCUUGACUUUGGGAUAACUUCAGGAAACUGGGGCUAAUACCGGAUAGGAGCUCCUGCUGCAUGGUGGGGGUUGGAAAGUUUCGGCGGUUGGGGAUGGACUCGCGGCUUAUCAGCUUGUUGGUGGGGUAGUGGCUUACCAAGGCUUUGACGGGUAGCCGGCCUGAGAGGGUGACCGGCCACAUUGGGACUGAGAUACGGCCCAGACUCCUACGGGAGGCAGCAGUGGGGAAUAUUGCACAAUGGGCGGAAGCCUGAUGCAGCAACGCCGCGUGCGGGAUGACGGCCUUCGGGUUGUAAACCGCUUUCGCCUGUGACGAAGCGUGAGUGACGGUAAUGGGUAAAGAAGCACCGGCUAACUACGUGCCAGCAGCCGCGGUGAUACGUAGGGUGCGAGCGUUGUCCGGAUUUAUUGGGCGUAAAGGGCUCGUAGGUGGUUGAUCGCGUCGGAAGUGUAAUCUUGGGGCUUAACCCUGAGCGUGCUUUCGAUACGGGUUGACUUGAGGAAGGUAGGGGAGAAUGGAAUUCCUGGUGGAGCGGUGGAAUGCGCAGAUAUCAGGAGGAACACCAGUGGCGAAGGCGGUUCUCUGGGCCUUUCCUGACGCUGAGGAGCGAAAGCGUGGGGAGCGAACAGGCUUAGAUACCCUGGUAGUCCACGCUGUAAACGGUGGGUACUAGGUGUGGGGUCCAUUCCACGGGUUCCGUGCCGUAGCUAACGCUUUAAGUACCCCGCCUGGGGAGUACGGCCGCAAGGCUAAAACUCAAAGGAAUUGACGGGGCCCCGCACAAGCGGCGGAGCAUGCGGAUUAAUUCGAUGCAACGCGUAGAACCUUACCUGGGUUUGACAUGGAUCGGGAGUGCUCAGAGAUGGGUGUGCCUCUUUUGGGGUCGGUUCACAGGUGGUGCAUGGCUGUCGUCAGCUCGUGUCGUGAGAUGUUGGGUUAAGUCCCGCAACGAGCGCAACCCUUGUUCACUGUUGCCAGCACGUUAUGGUGGGGACUCAGUGGAGACCGCCGGGGUCAACUCGGAGGAAGGUGGGGAUGACGUCAAGUCAUCAUGCCCCUUAUGUCCAGGGCUUCACGCAUGCUACAAUGGCUGGUACAGAGAGUGGCGAACUCGCGAGGGUAAGCGAAUCUCUUAAAGCCAUUCUCAGUUCGGAUUGUAGGCUGCAACUCGCCUACAUGAAGCCGGAAUCGCUAGUAAUCGCGGAUCAGCACGCCGCGGUGAAUACGUUCCCGGGUCU
Molecule: ribosomal RNA, 1345 nt
Filed under: uncultured bacterium
Lineage: Bacteria
Description: bacterial SSU rRNA
Rfam family: Bacterial small subunit ribosomal RNA
Source: RNAcentral